CCUACGGGAGGCAGCAGUGAGGAAUAUUGGUCAAUGGCCGGAAGGCUGAACCAGCCAAGCCGCGUGAAGGACGAAGGUGCCAAGCAUUGUAAACUUCUUUUGUCAAGGGACAAAAUCAGGCUCGAGAGCCUGACCGAGGGUACUUUAAGAAAAAGCAUCGGCUAACUCCGUGCCAGCCGCCGCGGUAAUACGGAGGAUGCGGUGGUUAUCCGGAUUUAUUGGGGUAAAAGGGUGCGUGGGAGGAUGGUUAAGUCAGCGGUAAAAGCCCGGGGCCCAACCCCGGCGAGCCGUUGAAACUGGCUGUCUUGAGAUGUCGAGAGGUAUGCGGAAUGCGCAGUGUAGCGGUGAAAUGCUUAGAUAUUGCGCAGAACUCCGAUUGCGAAGGCAGCAUACCGGCGGCGAUCUGACGCUGAGGCACGAAAGCGUGGGUAUCGAACAGGAUUAGAUACCCUAGUAGUC
RNAcentral lists this ribosomal RNA (459 nucleotides) under uncultured bacterium. Its description in RNAcentral is "partial 16S ribosomal RNA". It matches the Rfam family "Bacterial small subunit ribosomal RNA", at positions 338 to 795 of the family's 1533-position model. The record is from RNAcentral.